RNAcentral lists this ribosomal RNA (921 nucleotides) under uncultured organism. Its description in RNAcentral is "bacterial SSU rRNA". It matches the Rfam family "Bacterial small subunit ribosomal RNA", at positions 555 to 1488 of the family's 1533-position model. The record is from RNAcentral.
UGGGUGUAAAGCGCGUGCAGGCGUUCGAGUAAGUCGAGCGUGAAAGCUCCCGGCUCAACCGGGAGAGGACGUGCGAAACUGCUGGGCUGGAGGCAGGUAGAGGCGUGUGGAAUUCCGGGUGUAGUGGUGAAAUGCGUAGAUAUCCGGAGGAACACCAGUGGCGAAGGCGACACGCUGGGCCUGACCUGACGCUAAGACGCGAAAGCAUGGGUAGCGAACGGGAUUAGAAACCCCGGUAGUCCAUGCCGUAAACGAUGCAGACUAGGUGUUGAGCGUGUGAAAGCGAGCAGUGCCGAAGCAAACGUGAUAAGUCUGCCACCUGGGGACUACGGCCGCAAGGCUAAAACUCAAAGGAAUUGACGGGGGCCCGCACAAGCAGCGGAGCGUGUGGUUUAAUUCGAGGCUACACGAAGAACCUUACCUGGGCUUGACAUGACGGUUGUAGGGAAUCGAAAGAGGACCGACCCUUCGGGGAGCCGCCACAGGUGCUGCAUGGCUGUCGUCAGCUCGUGUCGUGAGAUGUUCGGUUAAGUCCGGUAACGAGCGCAACCCUCGCCGUUAGUUACAAGUGUCUAGCGGGACUGCCCGUAGAAAGCGGGAGGAAGGUGGGGAUGACGUCAAGUCAGCAUGGCCUUUAUGUCCAGGGCUACACACACGCUACAAUGGCCGGUACAAUGGGUCGCCAACCCGCGAGGGGGAGCUAAUCCACCAAAGCCGGUCUCAGUUCGGAUUGUAGGCUGCAACUCGCCUGCAUGAAGUCGGAGUUACUAGUAACCGCAGGUCAGCUAUACUGCGGUGAAUACGUUCCCGGGCCUUGUACACACCGCCCGUCACGUCACGGAAGCUGGUCAUGCCUGAAGUCGGUGGGCUAACCUCACGGAGCAGCCGCCUAGGGCAGGGCUGGUAACUGGGACGAAGUCG